This 556-nucleotide long non-coding RNA is filed under the name Eucalyptus grandis. Its description in RNAcentral is "long non-coding RNA (EGRA_LNC006927)". Lineage: Eukaryota; Viridiplantae; Streptophyta; Magnoliopsida; Myrtales; Myrtaceae. The record is from RNAcentral.
GAAAUUACAAAAGGAGAAAAAAAAAUUCUAUUGGCUAAUGGAAGUCAAACCAAUAAUUAAAGCCUUUGAAUGCAUUGGAAUUUUUUUGGGGAAAUUACAAAAGGAGCAAAAAAAAUUAUAUUGGCUAAUGAUAUCACAAAGACGCAAAUGAUUUACCAACGUCUAAAGGCCACAUACUUUCAAAAAGGUUGUGCAUGAAUCAGUCACCCAGGAACAUCAUUCUCAAAGUAAUUGAGCUCUCUAAUCAAGUCUCUCGUCAUAUAGAAUUUUAAGUGGCGAUAAUAUCAAUUAUCUAGCUUUUUAUCCGAGGGAUCGAAGCUUAUUGGAUUCAAAAGCAUCUACUAUCACUCGAGCGAUUCAAAAAUUUUGUUGGUCGGGAGCCAGUUUGACAUGCUCUGGUUGGAACAAGUUUUUCUAGGCUAGAUAUGACGGAAAAUUCCACUUAAAGUGCUUAAAUCCUCGCUCAAUUUAUUUUGAGUAGGUCUGGGCUUGGCCUAGAAAUCGUAGGCCCUGUAUAUUCUGGCUAGGACAAGAAGUAUCUUGAUCCUAGAUUGCC